CCUACGGGAGGCAGCAGUAGGGAAUCUUUCACAAUGGGCGAAAGCCUGAUGGAGCAACGCCGCGUGCAGGAUGAAGGCCUUCGGGUUGUAAACUGCUUUUAUAAGCGAGAAAUAUGAUGGUAACUUAUGAAUAAGGAUCGGCUAACUACGUGCCAGCAGCCGCGGUCAUACGUAGGAUCCGAGCAUUAUCCGGAGUGACUGGGUGUAAAGAGUUGCGUAGGUGGCAUAAUAAGUAGCUAGUGCAAUCUGGUGGCUCAACCAUUCAGACUAUUAGCUAAACUGUUAAGCUCGAGACCGUUAGAGGUAACUGGAAUUUCUAGUGUAGGAGUGAAAUCCGUAGAUAUUAGAAGGAACACCAAUAGCGUAGGCAGGUUGCUGGGACGGUUCUGACACUAAGGCACGAAAGCGUAGGGAGCAAACGGGAUUAGAUACCCGGGUAGUC
Molecule: ribosomal RNA, 442 nt
Filed under: uncultured bacterium
Lineage: Bacteria
Description: partial 16S ribosomal RNA
Rfam family: Bacterial small subunit ribosomal RNA
Source: RNAcentral